Phrynosoma platyrhinos (Desert horned lizard) is the source of this 72-nucleotide non-coding RNA. The record is from the annotation of a GenBank genome assembly. NCBI's taxonomy places the organism in Eukaryota, Metazoa, Chordata, Lepidosauria, Squamata, Phrynosomatidae.
GCCAGUGUUGUAUAGUGGUUUGAAUGCUGGACUACAACUCUGGAGACCUGGGUUGAAAUCCCGGCUUGGCCA